Molecule: ribosomal RNA, 253 nt
Filed under: uncultured bacterium
Lineage: Bacteria
Description: partial 16S ribosomal RNA
Rfam family: Bacterial small subunit ribosomal RNA
Source: RNAcentral
UACGAAGGGGGCUAGCGUUGCUCGGAAUCACUGGGCGUAAAGCGCACGUAGGCGGUCUUUUAAGUCAGGGGUGAAAUCCUGGAGCUCAACUCCAGAACUGCCUUUGAUACUGAGAGGCUUGAGUCCGGGAGAGGUGAGUGGAACUGCGAGUGUAGAGGUGAAAUUCGUAGAUAUUCGCAAGAACACCAGUGGCGAAGGCGGCUCACUGGCCCGGUACUGACGCUGAGGUGCGAAAGCGUGGGGAGCAAACAGG